AUGGAUUGAGAGCUUGCUCUCAAGAAGUUAGCGGCGGACGGGUGAGUAACACGUGGGUAACCUGCCCAUAAGACUGGGAUAACUCCGGGAAACCGGGGCUAAUACCGGAUAAUAUUUUGAACUGCAUGGUUCGAAAUUGAAAGGCGGCUUCGGCUGUCACUUAUGGAUGGACCCGCGUCGCAUUAGCUAGUUGGUGAGGUAACGGCUCACCAAGGCAACGAUGCGUAGCCGACCUGAGAGGGUGAUCGGCCACACUGGGACUGAGACACGGCCCAGACUCCUACGGGAGGCAGCAGUAGGGAAUCUUCCGCAAUGGACGAAAGUCUGACGGAGCAACGCCGCGUGAGUGAUGAAGGCUUUCGGGUCGUAAAACUCUGUUGUUAGGGAAGAACAAGUGCUAGUUGAAUAAGCUGGCACCUUGACGGUACCUAACCAGAAAGCCACGGCUAACUACGUGCCAGCAGCCGCGGUAAUACGUAGGUGGCAAGCGUUAUCCGGAAUUAUUGGGCGUAAAGCGCGCGCAGGUGGUUUCUUAAGUCUGAUGUGAAAGCCCACGGCUCAACCGUGGAGGGUCAUUGGAAACUGGGAGACUUGAGUGCAGAAGAGGAA
RNAcentral lists this ribosomal RNA (609 nucleotides) under Bacillus sp. (in: firmicutes). RNAcentral describes it as "bacterial SSU rRNA". It matches the Rfam family "Bacterial small subunit ribosomal RNA", at positions 69 to 659 of the family's 1533-position model. The record is from RNAcentral. Lineage: Bacteria; Bacillati; Bacillota; Bacilli; Caryophanales; Bacillaceae.